Molecule: ribosomal RNA, 483 nt
Filed under: Triticum aestivum (bread wheat)
Lineage: Eukaryota; Viridiplantae; Streptophyta; Magnoliopsida; Poales; Poaceae
Description: partial small subunit ribosomal RNA
Source: RNAcentral
AUGACAUACGAUGAGCGGUACACACCGUACAUCCAGCAGGCAGGACUCCUCCCGUGGAUUCAGUUGGUCAGCCGGUCCACACCGAACCUCAACGCUCCACUGGUGUCCGCUCUUGCUGAUCGGUGGAGGCCAGAGAUGCACAGUUUCCAUCUUCGGACUGGGGAGAUGACCGUGACGCUCGAGGAUGUCUCCUUAAUCACCGGUCUUGCUAUCAACGGGAGGCCCCUCUGUAUGAGCACCGAUUUUGAUGGGUGGUGCCAACAGAUGACUGCUCUUAUCGAUAUGGCUCCUACCGAGGCUGAGGCUGAUGUAGAGGAGGGAGGGGAGAAGAAGAAGAAGGAAAGGAAAGCAGCCGGAGCUGCUUUCACGUGGAUUCAAAGGAACUUUGUGAAGGAAAUAUGCCCUAGAGGCAAUAAUAAAGUUGUUACUUAUAUUUCCUUAUAUCAUGAUAAAUGUUUAUUAUUCAUGCUAGAAUUGUAUUAA